This 301-nucleotide ribosomal RNA is filed under the name Escherichia coli. Its description in RNAcentral is "partial 23S ribosomal RNA". It matches the Rfam family "Bacterial large subunit ribosomal RNA", at positions 1 to 289 of the family's 2925-position model. The record is from RNAcentral. Lineage: Bacteria; Pseudomonadati; Pseudomonadota; Gammaproteobacteria; Enterobacterales; Enterobacteriaceae.
GGGUUGUGAGGUUAAGCGACUAAGCGUACACGGUGGAUGCCCUGGCAGUCAGAGGCGAUGAAGGACGUGCUAAUCUGCGAUAAGCGUCGGUGAGGUGAUAUGAACCGUUAUAACCGGCGAUUUCCGAAUGGGGAAACCCAGUGUGUUUCGACACACUAUCAUUAACUGAAUCCAUAGGUUAAUGAGGCGAACCGGGGGAACUGAAACAUCUAAGUACCCCGAGGAAAAGAAAUCAACCGAGAUUCCCCCAGUAGCGGCGAGCGAACGGGGAGGAGCCCAGAGCCUGAAUCAGUGUGUGUGU